RNAcentral lists this ribosomal RNA (449 nucleotides) under uncultured bacterium. RNAcentral's name for it is "partial 16S ribosomal RNA". It matches the Rfam family "Bacterial small subunit ribosomal RNA", at positions 338 to 795 of the family's 1533-position model. The record is from RNAcentral.
CCUACGGGGGGCAGCAGUGGGGAAUUUUGGACAAUGGGCGCAAGCCUGAUCCAGCCAUGCCGCGUGCAGGAUGAAGGCCUUCGGGUUGUAAACUGCUUUUGUACGGAACGAAAAGGUGCCUUCUAAUAAAGGGCGCUCAUGACGGUACCGUAAGAAUAAGCACCGGCUAACUACGUGCCAGCAGCCGCGGUAAUACGUAGGGUGCGAGCGGGCAUCGGGCGUGCGGGGCGGGUAUCGUACGCAGGCGGUGAAAUCCCCGGGCUCAACCUGGGAACUGCCUUUGUGACUGCAAGGCUGGAGUGCGGCAGAGGGGGAUGGAAUUCCGCGUGUAGCAGUGAAAUGCGUAGAUAUGCGGAGGAACACCGAUGGCGAAGGCAAUCCCCUGGGCCUGCACUGACGCUCAUGCACGAAAGCGUGGGGAGCAAACAGGAUUAGAUACCCCUGUAGUC